This 487-nucleotide ribosomal RNA is filed under the name uncultured bacterium. RNAcentral's name for it is "bacterial SSU rRNA". It matches the Rfam family "Bacterial small subunit ribosomal RNA", at positions 28 to 509 of the family's 1533-position model. The record is from RNAcentral.
GACUAACGCUGGCGGCGUGCCUAAUACAUGCAAGUCGAACGGGAUUCUUUGAUCAGCUUGCUGAGAGAAGGAUCUAGUGGCGGACGGGUGAGUAACGCGUGGGAAUCUGCCUCUUACUGGGGGAUAACAGUGGGAAACUACUGCUAAUACCGCAUAAGAUCUUCGGAUGAAAGGUGCAACUGCACCGGUAAGAGAUGAGCCCGCGUCCCAUUAGCUAGUUGGUGAGGUAAAGGCUCACCAAGGCGACGAUGGGUAGCCGGCCUGAGAGGGUGAACGGCCACACUGGGACUGAGACACGGCCCAGACUCCUACGGGAGGCAGCAGUAGGGAAUCUUCCGCAAUGGGCGCAAGCCUGACGGAGCGACGCCGCGUGAGUGAUGAAGGCCUUCGGUCGUAAAGCUCUGUUCUUGUAGGACGAAUAAGCCAGGGAGUGGAAAGCCCUGGUGAUGACUGUACUCAAGGAGAAAGCUCCGGCUAACUACGUGCC